This 21-nucleotide microRNA is filed under the name Oryctolagus cuniculus (rabbit). RNAcentral's name for it is "ocu-miR-1343-5p". The record is from miRBase by way of RNAcentral. Lineage: Eukaryota; Metazoa; Chordata; Mammalia; Lagomorpha; Leporidae.
UGGGGAGCGGCCCCCGGGCGG